GACGAACCGUCCAAACGUUAUUCGGAAUCACUGGGCUUAAAGGGCGCGUAGGCGGCCGAGCGGGUCGUGGGUGAAAUCCUCCAGCUUAACUGGAGAACUGCUUACGAUACCACUGCGGCUCGAGGAAGGAAGGGGCAAUCGGAACUGUCGGUGGAGCGGUGAAAUGCGUUGAUAUCGACAGGAACGCCGGUGGCGAAAGCGGAUUGCUGGUCCUUUUCUGACGCUGAUGUGCGAAAGCCAGGGGAGCAAACGGG
This 254-nucleotide ribosomal RNA is filed under the name uncultured Zavarzinella sp. RNAcentral's name for it is "partial 16S ribosomal RNA". It matches the Rfam family "Bacterial small subunit ribosomal RNA", at positions 524 to 776 of the family's 1533-position model. The record is from RNAcentral. Lineage: Bacteria; Pseudomonadati; Planctomycetota; Planctomycetia; Gemmatales; Gemmataceae.